RNAcentral lists this ribosomal RNA (468 nucleotides) under uncultured bacterium. Its description in RNAcentral is "partial 16S ribosomal RNA". It matches the Rfam family "Bacterial small subunit ribosomal RNA", at positions 28 to 507 of the family's 1533-position model. The record is from RNAcentral.
GACGAACGCUGGCGGCGUGCUUAACACAUGCAAGUCGAACGGAAAGGCCAUGCUUUUGUGGGGUGCUCGAGUGGCGAACGGGUGAGUAACACGUGAGUAACCUGCCCUUGAAUUUGGGAUAACUUCAGGAAACUGGGGCUAAUAACGGAUAGGAGCUCCUGCUGCAUGGUGGGGGUUGGAAAGUUUCGGCGGUUGGGGAUGGACUCGCGGCUUAUCAGCUUGUUGGUGGGGUAGUGGCUUACCAAGGCUUUGACGGGUAGCCGGCCUGAGAGGGUGACCGGCCACAUUGGGACUGAGAUACGGCCCAGACUCCUACGGGAGGCAGCAGUGGGGAAUAUUGCACAAUGGGCGGAAGCCUGAUGCAGCAACGCCGCGUGCGGGAUGACGGCCUUCGGGUUGUAAACCGCUUUCGCCUGUGACGAAGCGUGAGUGACGGUAAUGGGUAAAGAAGCACCGGCUAACUACGUG